This 253-nucleotide ribosomal RNA is filed under the name uncultured bacterium. RNAcentral describes it as "partial 16S ribosomal RNA". It matches the Rfam family "Bacterial small subunit ribosomal RNA", at positions 524 to 776 of the family's 1533-position model. The record is from RNAcentral.
UACAGAGGCCUCGAGCGUUAGGCGGAAUCACUGGGCUUAAAGCGUGUGUAGGCGGAUUGGUAAGUACCUUGUGAAAUCCCACAGCUUAACUGUGGAACUGCUCGGUAUACUGCUGAUCUUGAGCCACUCAGGGGCUACCGGAACAAAUGGUGGAGCGGUGAAAUGCGUAGAUAUCAUUUGGAACGCCAAUGGUGAAAACAGGUAGCUGGGGGAGUGCUGACGCUGAGACACGAAAGCCAGGGGAGCAAACGGG